This 372-nucleotide ribosomal RNA is filed under the name uncultured organism. Its description in RNAcentral is "partial 16S ribosomal RNA". It matches the Rfam family "Bacterial small subunit ribosomal RNA", at positions 527 to 896 of the family's 1533-position model. The record is from RNAcentral.
GUAGGUGGCAAGCGUUGUCCGGAGUUAUUGGGCGUAAAGCGCGCGCAGGCGGUUCUUUAAGUCUGAUGUGAAAGCCCACGGGCUCAACCGUGGAGGGUCAUUGGAAACUGGAGAGCUUGAGUACAGAAGAGGAAAGCGGAAUUCCACGUGUAGCGGUGAAAUCCGUAGAGAUGUGGAGGAACACCAGUGGCGAAGGCGGCUUUCUGGUCUGUAACUGACGCUGAGGCGCGAAAGCGUGGGGAGCAAACAGGAUUAGAUACCCUGGUAGUCCACGCCGUAAACGAUGAGUGCUAAGUGUUAGGGGGUUUCCGCCCCUUAGUGCUGCAGCUAACGCAUUAAGCACUCCGCCUGGGGAGUACGGCCGCAAGGCUG